RNAcentral lists this ribosomal RNA (2917 nucleotides) under Enterococcus faecium. Its description in RNAcentral is "23S ribosomal RNA". It matches the Rfam family "Bacterial large subunit ribosomal RNA". Lineage: Bacteria; Bacillati; Bacillota; Bacilli; Lactobacillales; Enterococcaceae. The record is from RNAcentral.
GGUUAAGUGAAUAAGGGCGCACGGUGGAUGCCUUGGCACUAGGAGCCGAUGAAGGACGGGACUAACACCGAUAUGCUUUGGGGAGCUGUACGUAAGCUAUGAUCCAGAGAUUUCCGAAUGGGGGAACCCAACAUCUUUAAUAGGAUGUUACGAUUGUGUGAAUACAUAGCACAUUCGAGGUAGACGCAGAGAACUGAAACAUCUAAGUACCUGCAGGAAGAGAAAGAAAAUUCGAUUCCCUGAGUAGCGGCGAGCGAAACGGGAAAAGCCCAAACCAGCAAGCUUGCUUGUUGGGGUUGUAGGACUCCAAUAUGGUAGUUCUUUCAGAUAGUCGAAUGACUUGGAAAAGUCAGUCAAAGAGGGUAAAAACCCCGUAGACGAAAUGUGGAAGACACCUAGGAGGAUCCUGAGUACGGCGGAACACGAGAAAUUCCGUCGGAAUCCGGGAGGACCAUCUCCCAAGGCUAAAUACUCCCUAGUGACCGAUAGUGAACCAGUACCGUGAGGGAAAGGUGAAAAGCACCCCGGAAGGGGAGUGAAAUAGAACCUGAAACCGUGUGCCUACAACAAGUCAAAGCCCGUUAAUGGGUGAUGGCGUGCCUUUUGUAGAAUGAACCGGCGAGUUACGAUUGCAUGCGAGGUUAAGUUGAAGAGACGGAGCCGCAGCGAAAGCGAGUCUGAAUAGGGCGUUUGAGUAUGUAGUCGUAGACCCGAAACCAUGUGAUCUACCCAUGUCCAGGUUGAAGGUGCGGUAAAACGCACUGGAGGACCGAACCCACGUACGUUGAAAAGUGCGGGGAUGAGGUGUGGGUAGCGGAGAAAUUCCAAACGAACUUGGAGAUAGCUGGUUCUCUCCGAAAUAGCUUUAGGGCUAGCCUCGGAAUUGAGAAUGAUGGAGGUAGAGCACUGUUUGGACUAGGGGCCCAUCUCGGGUUACCGAAUUCAGAUAAACUCCGAAUGCCAUUCAUUCAUAUCCGGGAGUCAGACUGUGAGUGAUAAGAUCCAUAGUCGAAAGGGAAACAGCCCAGACCACCAGCUAAGGUCCCAAAAUAUAUGUUAAGUGGAAAAGGAUGUGGGGUUGCACAGACAACUAGGAUGUUGGCUUAGAAGCAGCCACCAUUUAAAGAGUGCGUAAUAGCUCACUAGUCGAGUGACCCUGCGCCGAAAAUGUACCGGGGCUAAACAUAUUACCGAAGCUGUGGAGUACACCUUUAGGUGUAUUGGUAGGAGAGCGUUCUAAGGGCGUUGAAGGCAGAUCGUGAGGACUGCUGGAGCGCUUAGAAGUGAGAAUGCCGGUAUGAGUAGCGAAAGACAGGUGAGAAUCCUGUCCACCGAAUGACUAAGGUUUCCUGGGGGAAGGCUCGUCCGCCCAGGGUUAGUCGGGACCUAAGCCGAGGCCGACAGGCGUAGGCGAUGGAUAACAGGUUGAUAUUCCUGUACCCGUUGUUUUUGUUUGAGCAAUGGAGGGACGCAGGAGGCUAAGGAAUGCAGACGAUCGGAAAUGUCUGUCCAAGCAGUAAGUCUGAAGAGGAGUCAAAUGCUUCUUUUCUUAAGGACAAGCUGUGAUGGGGAGGGAAAUAAUAGUACCGAAGUUCCUGAUGUCACACUGCCGAGAAAAGCUUCUAGUGAGAAAACAGCGGCCCGUACCGCAAACCGACACAGGUAGUCGAGGAGAGAAUCCUAAGGUGAGCGAGAGAACUCUCGUUAAGGAACUCGGCAAAAUGACCCCGUAACUUCGGGAGAAGGGGUGCUGAUCAUACGAUCAGCCGCAGUGAAUAGGCCCAAGCGACUGUUUAUCAAAAACACAGGUCUCUGCAAAAUCGUAAGAUGAAGUAUAGGGGCUGACGCCUGCCCGGUGCUGGAAGGUUAAGAGGAGUGCUUAGCGCAAGCGAAGGUACGAAUUGAAGCCCCAGUAAACGGCGGCCGUAACUAUAACGGUCCUAAGGUAGCGAAAUUCCUUGUCGGGUAAGUUCCGACCCGCACGAAAGGCGUAACGAUUUGGGCACUGUCUCAACGAGAGACUCGGUGAAAUUUUAGUACCUGUGAAGAUGCAGGUUACCCGCGACAGGACGGAAAGACCCCAUGGAGCUUUACUGUAGUUUGAUAUUGAGUGUCUGUACCGCAUGUACAGGAUAGGUAGGAGCCGUAGAAAUCGGAACGCUAGUUUCGAUGGAGGCGCUGGUGGGAUACUACCCCUGCGUUAUGGCCACUCUAACCCGCACCACUAAUCGUGGUGGGAGACAGUGUCAGAUGGGCAGUUUGACUGGGGGCGGUCGCCUCCUAAAAGGUAACGGAGGCGCCCAAAGGUUCCCUCAGAAUGGUUGGAAAUCAUUCGAAGAGUGUAAAGGCAGAAGGGAGCUUGACUGCGAGACCAACAAGUCGAGCAGGGACGAAAGUCGGGCUUAGUGAUCCGGUGGUUCCGCAUGGAAGGGCCAUCGCUCAACGGAUAAAAGCUACCCUGGGGAUAACAGGCUUAUCUCCCCCAAGAGUCCACAUCGACGGGGAGGUUUGGCACCUCGAUGUCGGCUCGUCGCAUCCUGGGGCUGUAGUCGGUCCCAAGGGUUGGGCUGUUCGCCCAUUAAAGCGGCACGCGAGCUGGGUUCAGAACGUCGUGAGACAGUUCGGUCCCUAUCCGUCGCGGGCGUUGGAAAUUUGAGAGGAGCUGUCCUUAGUACGAGAGGACCGGGAUGGACUUACCGCUGGUGUACCAGUUGUUCUGCCAAGGGCAUUGCUGGGUAGCUAUGUAGGGAAGGGAUAAACGCUGAAAGCAUCUAAGUGUGAAGCCCACCUCAAGAUGAGAUUUCCCAUUUCUUUAAGAAAGUAAGAUCCCUGAGAGAUGAUCAGGUAGAUAGGUCAGGAGUGGAAGUACAGUGAUGUAUGGAGCGGACUGAUACUAAUCGAUCGAGGACUUAACCAA